GGAGGUAUAGCCAAAAGGUAAGGCAAGGGUCUGCAAAACCCUCACUUCUGGUUCGAAUCCAGAUACCUCCUCCA
RNAcentral lists this transfer RNA (74 nucleotides) under Paenibacillus sp. DMB20. RNAcentral's name for it is "tRNA-Cys". It matches the Rfam family "tRNA". From Rfam's summary of the family: Transfer RNA (tRNA) molecules are approximately 80 nucleotides in length. Their secondary structure includes four short double-helical elements and three loops (D, anti-codon, and T loops). Further hydrogen bonds mediate the characteristic L-shaped molecular structure. tRNAs have two regions of fundamental functional importance: the anti-codon, which is responsible for specific mRNA codon recognition, and the 3' end, to which the tRNAs corresponding amino acid is attached (by aminoacyl-tRNA synthetases). tRNAs cope with the degeneracy of the genetic code in two manners: having more than one tRNA (with a specific anti-codon) for a particular amino acid; and 'wobble' base-pairing, i.e. permitting non-standard base-pairing at the 3rd anti-codon position. Lineage: Bacteria; Bacillati; Bacillota; Bacilli; Caryophanales; Paenibacillaceae. The record is from RNAcentral.